CUAUGGAGAGUUUGAUCCUAGCUCAGGAUAAACGCGUGCGGUAUGCCUAACACAUGCAAGUCGAACGAGAUUUUUGGUUUACUGAAAGUUUAGUGGCGGACGGGUGAGUAACGCGUAAGAACUUACCUUUUGGUUGAGGGAUACCAGCUGGAAACGGUUGAUAAUACCUCAUAUGCUGAGAAGUGAAAGAUGGAAACCCCAUCGCCAAGAGAGAGGCUUGCGUCUGAUUAGUUUGUUGGUCGGGUAAAGGCCUACCAAGACUAUGAUCAGUAGCUGGUUUGAGAGGACGAUCAGCCACACUGGGACUGAGACACGGCCCAGAUCCCUACGGGGAGCAGCAGUGAGGAAUCUUCCGCAAUGGGCGAAAGCCUGACGGAGCACUAUCGCGUGGAGGAAGACAGCUCGUGAGUUGUAAACUCCUUUUGUCAAAGAAGAAAAAUGACGGUAUUUGACGAAUAAGCAUCGGCUAAACUCUGUGCCAGCAGCCGCGGUUCUGGAGAUAGCAAGCGUUAUCCGGAAUUAUUGGGCGUAAAGCGUUUUGAGGUGGGUCACCAAGUCUGCUGUGAAAGAUCAGGGCUUAACCCUGAAUAUGCGGUGCGACUCUGUAUUUUACAGAGUUGAUACUUUUGUCUAACAAGAGUAUGAAACUAAUGGCCUUGAGUACGGUAGGGGUAGAGGGAAUUCUCGGAGAAGCGGUGAAAUGCAUAGAUAUCGGGAAGAACACCAAUGGCGAAAGCACUCUGCUGGGCCGAUACUGACACUCACAAACGAAAGCUAGAGGAGCGAAUAGGAUUAGAUACCCUAGUAGUUCUAGCCGUAAACGAUGGACACUAAUUGUUGAACGAAUAAAAAACGUGCAGUGAUGCAGCUAACGCGUUAAGUGUCCCGCCUGGGGAGUAUGCUCGCAAGGGUGAAACUCAAAGGAAUUGACGGGGGCCCGCACAAGCGGUGGAGCCUGUGGUUUAAUUCGAUGCAACGCGAAGAACCUUACCAGGGCUUGACAUUUUACUUAUCCUUUUGAAAAAAGGGAUUUCGCCGCAAUUUUAUUGCGGAGGGUAUAAACAGGUGGUGCAUGGCUGUCGUCAGCUCGUGCCGUGAGGUGUCGGGUUAAGUCCUUUAACGAGCGCAACCCUUGUCUUUACUUGGUUUACAAAGUAGAGAGACUGCCGGUGACAAACCGGAGGAAGGAGAGGAUGACGUCAAGUCAGCAUGCCCCUUACGUCCUGGGCUACACACGUGCUACAAUGGCCGGGACAAUGAGAUGCAACCCUGCGAAGGCAAGCCAACCUCAAAAACCCGGUCUCAGUUCGGAUUGUAGGCUGCAACUCGCCUACAUGAAGUCGGAAUCGCUAGUAAACGCCGGUCAGCCAUACGGCGUUGAAUAUGUUACCGGGCCUUGUACACACCGCCCGUCACACUAAGGGAGUUGGGUUGGUCCAAAGUAAUUACCCUAACCUUAACUGGAGGGGGAUUAUCACGGCCGAACUAGUGACUUGAGUGAAGUCGUAACAAGGUAUCCGUUCUGGAAGGAGCGGAUGGAUUACCUCCUU
RNAcentral lists this ribosomal RNA (1550 nucleotides) under Polulichloris maxima. Its description in RNAcentral is "SSU rRNA". It matches the Rfam family "Bacterial small subunit ribosomal RNA". Lineage: Eukaryota; Viridiplantae; Chlorophyta; Trebouxiophyceae; Watanabeales; Watanabeaceae. The record is from RNAcentral.